UAAGGAAUAUUGCUCAAUGGGAGAAAUCCUGAAGCAGCAACGCCGCGUGGAGGAUGAAGGGUCUAUGACUUGUAAACUCCUGUAAAGAAGGAAAAAAUUCCCAUUUGAUGGGAGAUGAUGGUACUUCUGGAGUAAGCCCCGGCUAACUACGUGCCAGCAGCCGCGGUAAUACGUAGGGGGCAAGCGUUGUCCGGAUUUACUGGGUGUAAAGGGUGCUCAGGCGGAUUUGUAAGUCAGAGGUGAAAUCUUACAGCUUAACUGUGAAACUGCCUUUGAUACUGCAAGCCUAGAGUAUGGAAGAGAGUGAUGGAAUAUCUGGUGUAGCAGUGAAAUGCGUAGAUAUCAGAUAGAACACCAAUGGCGAAGGCAGUCACUUGAUCCAUUACUGACGCUAAAGCACGAAAGCGUGGGUAGCAAACA
Molecule: ribosomal RNA, 420 nt
Filed under: uncultured bacterium
Lineage: Bacteria
Description: bacterial SSU rRNA
Rfam family: Bacterial small subunit ribosomal RNA
Source: RNAcentral